This 497-nucleotide ribosomal RNA is filed under the name uncultured bacterium. RNAcentral describes it as "partial 16S ribosomal RNA". It matches the Rfam family "Bacterial small subunit ribosomal RNA", at positions 28 to 507 of the family's 1533-position model. The record is from RNAcentral.
GAUGAACGCUGGCGGCGUGCCUAAUACAUGCAAGUCGAGCGAACAGAUGAGGAGCUUGCUCCUCUGACGUUAGCGGCGGACGGGUGAGUAACACGUGGAUAACCUACCUAUAAGACUGGGAUAACUUCGGGAGACCGGAGCUAAUACCGGAUAAUAUAUUGAACCGCAUGGUUCAAUAGUGAAAGACGGUUUUGCUGUCACUUAUAGAUGGAUCCGCGCCGCAUUAGCUAGUUGGUAAGGUAACGGCUUACCAAGGCAACGAUGCGUAGCCGACCUGAGAGGGUGAUCGGCCACACUGGAACUGAGACACGGUCCAGACUCCUACGGGAGGCAGCAGUAGGGAAUCUUCCGCAAUGGGCGAAAGCUUGACGGAGCAACGCCGCGUGAGUGAUGAAGGUCUUCGGAUCGUAAAACUCUGUUAUUAGGGAAGAACAAAUGUGUAAGUAACUAUGCACGUCUUGACGGUACCUAAUCAGAAAGCCACGGCUAACUACGUG